CUGCCAUGGGAGGAAUGACUCUCCGAGUCAGAGACACAGGUACCAGGUCUGCUGGUGGCUGGCCGGGGGCAGCGCUCAGCAUCUUCUGGCUUUUCUCAGGACCUAAUGCAGAAACCCCUUGUGCUGAAUCCCUUUCCUAUUUUCAAUCUCUCUGACUUCUACUGUAACCAGCCAGGAAAAACUCCCUGCUUUUAAAUCUCCACUUGGAUAAUUGCAUUUUAAGGUGAACUGAUUUGGUAACUUUAAUUAUGUAAAAAAAAAAAAAAAAUCCCUUCACAGUGGGACCUGGAUUAGUGUUUGGUCAAAUAACCAGGGGUAGGAGUCUCUAGGGACCGUCCACCACCAGAUCCAACAGCCCUUGGCUCUUCUCUAACACAGGUGCAGUUCAAGGGAGAGAAUGGGGGGGCUUCCUCAGUGGUCCAGUGCCACCAAGUGAGAAGAAGGCCAUACUGCCAAGGCAGGGGGCAAGGGUUUUCAUCCCUGGUCUGGGAACUAAGAUCCCACGCAUUGUGCAGUAUGGCCAAAAGAUUUUUUAAAAAGUGAGAAUGGAGACAGUCAUUGAAAUCUAGCUGGACUUCCUGUUUUAAUGGACUCUGGUCUCACGUGACUUAGAGAAAUACAGAGGGUGCGUUCUUUCUUGCUGCCCUCCCUUUCUGUGAAUACUGACCAAGUGACACACAUUUCUUAUCACCAUUUUGCAGAUGGGGAAACUGAGGCACAGAGCAUUUUGGAAACUUUCACGAGUUGCAGAGGCAAGAAAGCAAGCCUCCAUGGAAGCGGAAGUGCUGGAACCUCGCUCAGCCCGAGUUGCAAACCUCUGCAGGCCAGUGGAAGUUUUGUAUUUUUUUCUUUAAAAGCAACUGGUUGUUCACCACACACUCGCUCACUUUAGGGUCGACAGGUGUAUGCUGUUCGGAAAUGUGGCAAACCCGCAGGCUGAUUCCUUGGGCUCUUUGCUACCUAAGAAAGAUUACCAAAUAAGUUAACUUUGACUCACUGACCCCUCAGAUCAGCCAAUAAAAUGAAGCGCUUACACCACAACUUGCUCAAGGGGUAGUGUAAUUGAUUUACUUAAAAAUGAUGUCAGGUGGCAAUUGAGCAACAAACUGGCUUCCAGACUGCUUAAUUCAGUUUAACAAGGAGGAAAAACCUUGUAAUUAACGGAAGAGCUUGAAUACUUUGGAAGCUGUUUUCAAAGUCUGCCAUACCUAAGCUGG
RNAcentral lists this long non-coding RNA (1217 nucleotides) under Bos grunniens (domestic yak). RNAcentral describes it as "lncRNA (ENSBGRG00000010239.1)". Lineage: Eukaryota; Metazoa; Chordata; Mammalia; Artiodactyla; Bovidae. The record is from RNAcentral.